This 1685-nucleotide long non-coding RNA is filed under the name Homo sapiens (human). RNAcentral's name for it is "HSALNT0386407". Lineage: Eukaryota; Metazoa; Chordata; Mammalia; Primates; Hominidae. The record is from RNAcentral.
CUUCUCUUUCCUGCUGCCAUGUGAAGAAGGAUGUAUUUGCUUCUCCUUCUGCCAUGAUCACAGGAACCGAGGCUGGGUCAUCGGCUCCAGAAUUUACCAGGCUGUGCAUUGUAGAACCUCCUCAUGGACGGGCUCUGUGUGCAGGCUUUACUCUGGCCAAUGGCAGGCAAAGACACUUUCAGAAGAGGAACGAAGGCCUGGAAGGAAAAGCAUCAGGGGAACGACGCUUACGUCUCUCCUCCUCCCUCCGGUCUCCCACCAGUGCUCCCAUUGGCUGAAGCCAACCAGAAGCCACAGGACUCUAUCACCCAGGCUGGAGUGCAGCAGCGCGAUCUCGGCUCACUGCAACGUCCGCCUCCUGGGUUCAAGUGAUUCUCCUGCCUCAGCCUCCUGAGUAGCUAGGAUUACAGGUAUGUGCACCACGCCCAGUUAAUUUUUGUAUUUUUAGUAGAGAUGGGGUUUCACCAUGUUGGCCAGGCUGGUCUUGAACUCCUGACCUCAGGUGAUCCACCCACCUCGGCCCCCAAAUGUGCUGGGAUUACAGGCAUGAGCCACCGCGCCCGGCCCUACUGUCUCCACUUUUAGGAGUUCAAAUCCACAACCUGACUCACUGGAAUGCUCACAGGAGUUCAUGAACUAUCUGAGCUACAUGGAUAGUCUGCAUGAGUUCAAGGCCACUGCAGACACCAUGUCUCAGACAGGCGUGUCAUAGUGUCAAAGCUCCUGUUAGGCAGCCUGCAGAACAGCCUAGGCCCCGUGAAUUAUGUCACUAGAACAUCAACAAUUAAUUUUGUCCAAUGACAAAGUCUGAAAUGACUGAAAAGGGUAGGACUCAGGUAAGCCUGAAAGAAUCUCUCAUGCGAUAAUAACAAUUUCAUCAUGAAUAAUAAUAAUGACCAUGUAUUGAACACUUAAACUUAAGUCAUGCGUCUGGCACUAUAUUAAGCAUUUUCUUUAUAUUCUGUUAUUUAAUCUUUACAGGAAUCCUGAGGUCAGCAUCAUCCCAAUUUCACAGAGUAUGACAUGACGUCUCAGAGAGGGUAAGCAGCUUGCCAAACAUUCCACAGCCAGGAAGCUGUAGGACCAGCCUGUGCUCCUAAGGACUGGCUCCUGGCUGCUAUAUAUAGAACUAAGCCUGGUGGAGGUGUCAGAAAUAGAGGUUCACUUCUGUCAUCACCGACCUCCCUCCACACCUUUGCAAAGGAGGAAACUGAGAGGCAGGGAUUUCCGCAGAGCAAGGAACCCAAAUUGCUGCCUCCUGUGAUUUAUACACUGCACCCCAAGCUGUAGGGGUAACCCAAGGACAAAGCUGUAACCCAAGCGGGAACAUAUGCCCCAUCUGGGGCCACCAAAAUCUUACCAGCUUCCUCAGCUGGUGGAUCGGUUAAUUCACGGCCACAGCCCCCUGGAGCUGGGGGAAAGGAAAACCAGGGCGUCUCCGCAAACCAGCCCAGAGAGAGGUCUGCGGAAGGGCCCGGAAGCCUGCAGGCCCCUCUGCACCCCCAACCCCACCGCCAUCCUGGACCUCCAAGAUGACCUGGUCCAACAGAGUCCUGCAUGGAAAAGACUGGAACCCAGGGAGGAGCAGAGCCCCGCCCAAGGUCACCGGCCGAGCCUGAAUAGAACCCGGUUCUCCAGGAGCCCUGUCUUUAGCUGUCUUGUCCAAAUAAAAUUUUUCAGGCCAU